Molecule: ribosomal RNA, 163 nt
Filed under: Oberonia falconeri
Lineage: Eukaryota; Viridiplantae; Streptophyta; Magnoliopsida; Asparagales; Orchidaceae
Description: 5.8S ribosomal RNA
Rfam family: 5.8S ribosomal RNA
About the family: 5.8S ribosomal RNA (5.8S rRNA) is a component of the large subunit of the eukaryotic ribosome. It is transcribed by RNA polymerase I as part of the 45S precursor that also contains 18S and 28S rRNA.
Source: RNAcentral
GACACGACUCUCGGCAAUGGAUAUCUCGGCUCUUGCAUCGAUGAAGAGCGCAGCGAAAUGCGAUACGUGGUGCGAAUUGCAGAAUCCCGCGAACCAUCGAGUCUUUGAACGCAAGUUGCGCCCGAGGCCAGCUGGCUGAGGGCACGUCUGCCUGGGCGUCAAG